UAGGGAAUCUUCCGCAAUGGGCGAAAGCCUGACGGAGCAACGCCGCGUGAGUGAUGAAGGUAUUCGGAUCGUAAAACUCUGUUAUUAGGGAAGAACAAAUGUGUAAGUAACUAUGCACGUCUUGACGGUACCUAAUCAGAAAGCCACGGCUAACUACGUGCCAGCAGCCGCGGUAAUACGUAGGUGGCAAGCGUUAUCCGGAAUUAUUGGGCGUAAAGCGCGCGUAGGCGGUGUUUUAAGUCUGAUGUGAAAGCCCACGGCUCAACCGUGGAGGGUCAUUGGAAACUGGAAAACUUGAGUGCAGAAGAGGAAAGUGGAAUUCCAUGUGUAGCGGUGAAAUGCGCAGAGAUAUGGAGGAACACCAGUGGCGAAGGCGACUUUCUGGUCUGUAACUGACGCUGAUGUGCGAAAGCGUGGGGAUCAAACAGG
This 429-nucleotide ribosomal RNA is filed under the name Actinomycetes bacterium. RNAcentral describes it as "Actinobacteria bacterium partial 16S ribosomal RNA". It matches the Rfam family "Bacterial small subunit ribosomal RNA", at positions 355 to 776 of the family's 1533-position model. The record is from RNAcentral. Lineage: Bacteria; Bacillati; Actinomycetota; Actinomycetes.